This is a non-coding RNA of Peromyscus maniculatus bairdii (prairie deer mouse), 1074 nucleotides long. NCBI's taxonomy places the organism in Eukaryota, Metazoa, Chordata, Mammalia, Rodentia, Cricetidae. The record is from RefSeq and is a predicted model, not a curated record.
CUCUCUCUCUCCAUCUCUCUCUUUCUCUCUCUCUCCUUCUUUCUUUUUUUUUUUUUCUUUAGUGGCAGAAUAGACCCGACAUGAAGUGGACAGGCGUGGCCGUCCUGGGCAUGGUGUCCCGUGGUGCUCACUUGCCCUCCACUGUGCUGUGGCAGUACUCUUAGCUCUCUGCUCUUACAGUGUCUCUGAGAGUGCGACCCAAACACACCAUGAGCCGUUCCUGUGUUGCUGUCCCAGCUUGUGCAUUCCCACUGAGCCACUGGGUGCCUGUCUUCCCAUUUCCUGCUCUGUGCCCUGGUCCUUGGUUCCCAAGGUGGGGCUUUCCAAGUCCUCCCCUCCCCCAAAUGUCACUGUGAGUCUAAGGUCCAGAUAAAACUGACAGGCACUUUUGUCCUUUUAUCCCUGUCCCCUGAUUUUUCUGACAAGACCAGAAGUUUUCAGUGACCCGAAUCUUCGCAGCAGGAUUGGACCUUCUCUGUCUCUAAUCAUAUCAAGUUGAAUGAGUGAGGGAUGAGCUGUAACUCAGUCGGCCACAUGCUCGCCUGGCAUGCACAGUCUGAGUUCCAUCCCCAGUACCAGUACAUGAACCAGGUCUGUGUAAUGGACUCAGGAGGUCGAGGCAGGAGGAUCCAAGGUUCCAGGAUUCUCUUUGGCUGUGUAACAGAGUCUGAGGCUAGCCCUGGCUAUGUGAGACCCUGUCUAAUAAAAAGGAGAAAAGCUGUAUAAAUGAACAGUGUUUUUCUUGGAUCUCCUGACUUUGGCUCGUCUUGGGGGACAGCAUGGAUGUGUCCUGUCUACGUGGUGGGCUGGCAGUCUGGGUCACUCCAGCCACAGACUUUCUCCCUUUGUUCUUGCUAAUGCUCAGUGUCUGUCACUGCUGUGUCUCUCUCCACCUCACCUUCGCCGUUCCAUUGUUACAGGCUUUCUAUGAUCUGUCCUGUGUUUUCCCUCUAGUCAGGAGUGGCAGGAAAGGACGCCGGCGAGUGUUCAGCCUGUCGGAGGCCGACAGUCACGGCGGCCACUGGGUUUAGUGCUUCGACCAGCAGCUGCCACGGCACCUCACGCACAAUCAAA